RNAcentral lists this ribosomal RNA (512 nucleotides) under uncultured bacterium. RNAcentral describes it as "bacterial SSU rRNA". It matches the Rfam family "Bacterial small subunit ribosomal RNA", at positions 1000 to 1509 of the family's 1533-position model. The record is from RNAcentral.
CCAGAGAUGGAUUGGUGCCUUUCGGGAACUCUGAGACAGGUGCUGCAUGGCUGUCGUCAGCUCGUGUUGUGAAAUGUUGGGUUAAGUCCCGCAACGAGCGCAACCCUUUAUCCUUUGUUGCCAGCGGUUAGGCCGGGAACUCAAAGGAGACUGCCAGUGAUAAACUGGAGGAAGGUGGGGAUGACGUCAAGUCAUCAUGGCCCUUACGAGUAGGGCUACACACGUGCUACAAUGGCGCAUACAAAGAGAAGCGACCUCGCGAGAGGCAAGCGGACCUCAUAAAGUGCGUCGUAGUCCGGAUUGGAGUCUGCAACUCGACUCCAUGAAGUCGGAAUCGCUAGUAAUCGUGGAUCAGAAUGCCACGGUGAAUACGUUCCCGGGCCUUGUACACACCGCCCGUCACACCAUGGGAGUGGGUUGCAAAAGAAGUAGGUAGCUUAACCUUCGGGAGGGCGCUUACCACUUUGUGAUUCAUGACUGGGGUGAAGUCGUAACAAGGUAAGCGUAGUGCU